Molecule: RNA transcript, 3290 nt
Organism: Acinonyx jubatus (cheetah)
Lineage: Eukaryota; Metazoa; Chordata; Mammalia; Carnivora; Felidae
Gene: DCUN1D2
Gene name: defective in cullin neddylation 1 domain containing 2
Exons: 8
Source: RefSeq, a predicted model, not a curated record
GGGGCGGGGCCUGAGGGGUGUCGUGGGCCUCUGGGUGGCCCUGUGCACGCCGGGUGAUGGAGUUCCCCUGGCGGGACCUGCCUCUGUGCCCCUGCGCCCCUUCCCCGGCAGGUGUCCCGGGAGCGAACGCCGAGGACGAGGACAGCGCGGCCGAGCCGGGGCCCCUGCGCAGACGACCGGAGCCGGCGAGAAGCUGGGGAGCGCCGGGGAGAAUGAUAGAUGCCGUCAUCCCGGUUUUCAGAGGACAGGGCGGUCUUCCUGACUACGGAGCCAUGUGAUGCUGUGGCCCGGGGCCCCGCGAAGAAGGGGAGCCAGCGAGGAAGCACGAGGUCCGUUGCAAAUACCGGCAGUGGCGGUGGGAAACUGAAGCGGAGCCGCGUCCCAGCUGCCUGGCCUUCCUCGUGCUCUCACGUCCCAGAGCGUACACGUAAGCCGUCUCCGAGGGACAAGGUCCUGAGCCUGUGGCAUUUUGUCAGGCUGGCCGGAGUGGUGCCAUGUGCUGCGGAGCACAGGCCAGGUAGACGCCAGAGGUGACCACGCCGACUCCCCGCGCGCCGUCGCUCCUGCCGCGGGCCCCAUGAGAAGCACAGUGGACAGGAGGAAGCUGGAGCAGCUGUACGACAGGUACAGAGACCCACAAGAUGAAAAUAAAAUUGGAAUUGACGGAAUUCAACAGUUUUGUGAUGACUUAAGCCUGGAUCCUGCCAGCGUCAGCGUUUUGGUCAUUGCGUGGAAAUUCAGGGCAGCGACGCAAUGUGAAUUUACCAAAAAGGAAUUUGUAGAUGGCAUGACAGAGCUCGGGUGUGACAGCACAGAGAAGCUGAGGGCCCUUCUGCCGAGGCUGGAGCAGGAACUGAAGGACACGGCGAAGUUUAAGGAUUUUUAUCAGUUUACCUUCACCUUUGCUAAGAACCCUGGGCAGAAGGGUUUAGAUUUAGAAAUGGCUGUUGCAUACUGGAAUUUAGUGUUAUCUGGAAGGUUUAAAUUUUUAGAUCUUUGGAACAGCUUUUUAUUGGAACAUCACAAAAGAUCAAUCCCAAGGGACACUUGGAACCUUCUGCUAGAUUUUGGAAAUAUGAUUGCAGAUGAUAUGUCUAACUAUGACGAAGAAGUUUAAUUUAGGAGGACAACCCCCUAAAUAAACUAAAGCAUUUCAAAAGUGGAUGUGCAGAGAGCCCUGCGGCAGAGCCGUGGGACCAAACGGGUUUGGAAGCCGCUCUUCCAGGUACGUAAUCCUGGGUGGCGCCUCAGGCUAGGCAUUCUACCAUGUGAAGAUUCCAGCUGGUAUAACAUGAUCACAUAUUCAUGGUCCCCACCCUGAGAUGUUUGAGGACAGCCUGUCAGGGAGCAUGUAUGUGCCUGCCACCAUGGGCACUGUGCCGCUUUAGGGAAGGACACAGUCUCAGCCUGCCCACUGCAUGCUCCCCCAGCGCCCAGCUUGGAGGCGACCGCUCUGGGGCACCUGUGGUGUUGCAUGUCUAUGUGCGUCCCCAGCACUCAGCACAGAGCGGGCACUUAAUAAACGUGAAUAGUUGACCAUAGACAGAAGCCCAGGGAGUGUGGCUGUGGUGGCGAGACGUGGCUGGUCUGCAGAGGAGGGGCCGGCAGCUUACAGUGAGUGUGUUCCUGGCCAGCGGGGUUGGGGUGGUCCGGGCUACCUGGGGGUGGUGGGGAGGCUGGGCCUGGAGAGGGAACCGGCCCAGGGAGAAAAGGGUGCAGUGUUUUGCAGGGCAGGUGGAAGGCCCUGUGCCUGGUCCCGACUGCCUGGAACAGGGGCCCGGGCCUUGCAGCCGGCCGGCCCCGAGUGCCUGGUCGCUAGAGGCCACGUCCGCACGGGAGCACCAGUGCUGGCCUGGGGUCUGGCUACAGCAAGAGGAAUGGAUCUCACUGGCAAUCCCUCCAGAGAGAUGGGCUGUGAGACGACUCACUUGAGCUCCUGAAACACAAAUAUUGACUGCAGAAAGAAUGCUCUGGAUAUAAAAAUACUGCUCUAGACUGAUGUUCAUGUGAACGUGCUUUCACGGUUCCUGACAUGCUGCAGUCUGCAUGGUGACAGCACCCAUCACCAUGGGAUUCCAGGGACAUUUUAUCAUGUACUGUUUACAAGUCAGCUGGUCUGUCCUGUCCAGUGUCAUUUGAAUGAGCUUCCGAAAAAGUUCUAUAAAGUAUGCUUUAGAAAAAAAAAAAGUAUUUUAUUACGUUUAAAAAGACAUUUUUCCCUGGAAAGUAUUUCUUUUAUGAGCAACGGAUUAUAGAUUCAGAAAUGGAGUGAGUUUGUUCCCUCCGGCCCUCUGCAUGGUUGCGCACAUUCGGAAGCUACAGUGCGCACCGUUACCCGAGACGCCCAGACGGGAAGGUCCCGUCUCAUUUACAUCUGCAGUGUGUGACCGUCGCAUUACCGUCUGUGAGAGGAGGCCGUCCGGCGAGGCAUGGACUCUGCUGUGCUGUCCGAUGGUGGAGCCUGUGACGUUACCUGUUCCUCCUGUUGGGAAAGCUCCUGGGUGUUCUAAAAAUCACUGUGCAGACCCUGCAUUAUAUUUGAAAAGAUCUUCACGUCCCACGUGUGCCUGCUACCCUGUCUGCAGUCCCAUUUAUGAGACAGAUAAACUGGGGUCACUUCACAGGAGAGGAAGUUCACAGUGGACUUUCCGUGAAUGGGCAGUGUGCUUAAAAUGUGUAGUUUGAUGUGACUUUCAAAAUUGGGAUUCAGCAUUUCAGGAAGCUUCUGUGCCCAUGGGAGGUGUUCGUGUGCUUGCCAUGUGUGAACCGUUUAUACUUCCAAAGAGGAGUUGUUCAGAGAGGCCACAGGCUGUCCGGGUGGGAAAGGGGGCUUAAGGCCUGCAGGCCAGAGUCUGGGCUGGGUUGGGUUGGCCCCUACACAGAUGCACGACUGAGUCCCGCGGUGUCUCCUGGGCCUGUACUUCCCUGUCUGCCACAGGGUCGACAGGCCCAUCUCUGCCUGCCAGCCUGUGGUUCUAAGAGAGCAUGCACUUUAUGUAAUAAAAACCUCAACAGCUUUAAAGCAUCCUUCGAGGCUUCGCAGAUUCUUGCCGUGUAAGUGUUCACGGAGGAGGCUGUAGGUCUGCGACCCCUCGUUCUUAAGAUUCGAAGUUGUGGGAGUGGGGGGCUUCUGUGCACUUGGUCAUCAGUAAAUAACGGAACAUUAGUGGCCGGACAAAGGCUCUUCAAGAUUGCGGUUUCUUCUAUUCUAUUUAUUUAAAGCACGCGUGCCAUGAAAAGUGCUAAGAGCUUUGCAAACGUUGAAAUAAAAUAUGUUCUCUGGUGUGGCA